AGGAUUCCUCAUCUUGAGGCCUUAGUGUUCUGAUAGCAGCCUGGACCAACUCCUCGCGGAUAAUUGGUAAUUAUUUUUGCUUCUGAACCGCCAGGUCCGGUGGUUAUCAAGAUUAAAUUGGAGCACAACAGUUUGCCAUAAUUCUCGAGUAUUUGUUACCACACUGAAGAUAUCUUGAUAACCGGUUUUUUUCAACAAUUUGUUCCUCGCACUUAGCGAUGGAGUUUUGAAGAUAAGUUCAAACUAGUCUACUCGGGCAUACCAACGCUGACUGCUGAUAAUCUAAGUUUGAAAUUGCUGAUAAUCUAAGUUUGAAAUAAAGGGUAGAAGCAGAGUAUGUUAUAGCAGUGAAUAAAUUUCGAAAAGUC
Macrobrachium nipponense is the source of this 368-nucleotide long non-coding RNA. RefSeq lists it as uncharacterized. Lineage: Eukaryota; Metazoa; Arthropoda; Malacostraca; Decapoda; Palaemonidae. The transcript has 2 exons. The record is from RefSeq and is a predicted model, not a curated record.